This 21-nucleotide unclassified non-coding RNA is filed under the name Mus musculus (house mouse). RNAcentral's name for it is "oocyte_clustered_small_RNA9253". The record is from RNAcentral. Lineage: Eukaryota; Metazoa; Chordata; Mammalia; Rodentia; Muridae.
UCGCGCGUAGAGGCGGGUCCU